This 261-nucleotide long non-coding RNA is filed under the name Musa acuminata (dwarf banana). Its description in RNAcentral is "long non-coding RNA (MACU_LNC008013)". The record is from RNAcentral. Lineage: Eukaryota; Viridiplantae; Streptophyta; Magnoliopsida; Zingiberales; Musaceae.
UAGGAGAGUCCUAAUUGAGAGGGACAUUCUGUUAGGACUCUAGCUAGGAGAGUCCUAAUUGAGAGGGACACUCUGUUAGGACUAACUAGGAGAGUCCUAAUUGAAAGGGACAUUCUGUUAGGAGGUUUUUUCUUAGAGAAGAAUUAGGAGUUGUAAGGGAAUAGGAGUCUUGAGUAUGAGUCAUAUUAGGAGUUGGUUAGAAGUAAGAGUCUUAAGUAGGAGUCCUAUUAGGAGUUAGGGUUUAGAAGCCCUAUAAAUAGC